AAUGCGAAGCGCUGGAGUCAUAGAAGUAAGAUAAGCUGCAUUUCUCGUUUUUUGAUAAUAUCAUCCAUUUUUAAAAUAUGUUAAGAGCUAAAAGUUCGUGUCUCUGUUACAUGUUUAAACACAGGACAUAAAACAACAGCUUGCUAACUGUCGAGGGCAGGAGUUAGUUAAUGCAGAUGAGCCUAGCUAAACGCAGUAUGCUACUCGGUUGCGCUUAUAGAACUUUUCUUAAGAGAAACAAGCAGCUACCACGAUUUUUGUAUUGUACACUUCCUCAGAAACACAUAUGUGGUGCUUGGUCAAAGUUUUGCAUGGACGUGCUGACUGCAGAUGAGUUAGCAGCUCCGCAGAAAGGCUGUGCGUCAGUAAUUAGUCGUGUUUCUUGUCAGUAAUUAGCCGUGUCCUUUGUUUCAUGUGUUCGUGCGCACAUGCGUCCCGUUUCUGGUUGCCGGUGACAAAUGCAAUUUCACUGUUAAAGAAAUUACAUAUAUAUACUUACAUAUAUAUGGGUAUAUAGUUACUCAUACAUUUACGCUCUUGGUUUAAAAAUGGCUGGUCAGCCUUUAUCUGUUAUUCAUAGCCAAUAUGAUACAAACUGGUUUAAUAAGAGGCACUGUCACAGAUCUUUGAAUUUCAAAGAUUUGCCUUGUCCCACACUGCUGUUACUGAUUAUCUUAAAUGUUAAAAUACUUUUUUUGUUUUGUUUUUCAUAGAUUUAUUUUAUUAAGUUCAUUGUUAUAUUGAGUAACAAGUUGCUAAGUUAAUUGAUUAGAUAAAGUAAAUAUUUUAUUUCUUUUACUGUCAAAGUGCAGCACCCAUUUAGUUGGUGAUGAUUCCUUUAAAUUAUUUUAAAACCUUGUGUUAUCAUUAACCCAAUAUUUUGUCUCGUCUCUCCUGGAGACAAACAUGGAGGUGAAGCGCAAGAUAAUGUAGGCUGAAAUGCAGAAGAAAGACCCAAAUCAUCAGCUGCUUGAGGAUUUGAUAGUUGCUACAUUUGCUUAGUGUAAGAAAGACAUGGUAGGAGACCAACCACACAUCACAGAGCUCAUCUCCCGAUGACCUGCUCUGUUCCAUGAGAGACAGAUUAGGGCAGAAUUUACAAUAAUGGUCACCGCAGACCUUCUGGAAUCUUUUGUUGACAAACUUGAUGGCCUGGUUCUGAGACUGCUGGAGGUCUACAAAGCAGCAACCAAAUCUGGAAAGAAGUAGCCACUCAAAGACAUUUUGGACUACCUUGCAAAAGAUGACACAAAUGAAAGGAGAAGGGCUGCUGCUCUGCUAGGUUUGCCACGCUACAUAUCUGGGGAAGAUCCAUCAACUGUCAUCAGGAUGUGUGAUGUAAGACUAAGACAUGUUAUUACAAAGACUGUUUACAUAAUUACCUAUUCCUCUUUCUUGAUAUCAUUUCUUAAAAAUCUUUUUGUAGCAUUUGUGUUUGCAAAAACUUAUUUUUAGUCCUUGUUAAGAGACAUUACUUCCUGUUUACUACAGCUAUGCAUAACGUCAAAAUUUGAUGUAAUUACUUUGUGUAUCCUGAUUGAUUUUGUUCAAAGCCAUUUGAUGGAAACAUGCCUUGUUUGCAUUUUCUAAAUGUUAAUGGUUAUGCACUAAAACAUUUAGCAUUGUGCUGAAUUUGUGAAAAAACCUCUCAGAGUUUUUGUGAGUUUGUUAAAACACUGAUCAUUUUGCACAUAAUUUAAUACAUAUAUGUGUGUGUGUGUGUCCCCUUCCCCAAGUCUUUUUAAUUGUUAUUUUUAUACAUAUCUGUCUUGUGUUAGGCCUCAUUUUGCAAAUAAGGUGUGCUGUCUUUCUUGGGUCAGCUCUUCCACUAUUGGUCAGCAGACAAGAAGGAGCAGAAUCCAUGUGCAGAUCUGUCCUGCAACCUUUAGAUGUGCCUCUGCUGCACCACACCUGACUAGAAUAAUUAGGUCAU
Molecule: long non-coding RNA, 1933 nt
Organism: Gambusia affinis (western mosquitofish)
Lineage: Eukaryota; Metazoa; Chordata; Actinopteri; Cyprinodontiformes; Poeciliidae
Exons: 3
Source: RefSeq, a predicted model, not a curated record